Molecule: ribosomal RNA, 890 nt
Filed under: uncultured bacterium
Lineage: Bacteria
Description: bacterial SSU rRNA
Rfam family: Bacterial small subunit ribosomal RNA
Source: RNAcentral
AGAGUUUGAUCAUGGCUCAGAACGUACGCUGGCGGCACGCCUAACACAUGCAAGUCGAACGCAGUAGCAAUACUGAGUGGCAAACGGGUGAGUAUAAUGUGGGAAUCUGCCUUUUGGUUUGGAAUAACACGGGGAAACUUGUGCUAAUACCGAAUAAGCCCUUACGGGGAAAGUUUUAACGCCGAAAGAUGAGCCUGCACUUGAUUAGCUAGUUGGUAAGGUAAAGGCUUACCAAGGCAAUGAUCAAUAGCUGUUCUUAGAGGAAGACCAGCCACAUUGGGACUGAGACACGGCCCAGACUCCUACGGGAGGCAGCAGUGGGGAAUCUUGCACAAUGGGGGAAACCCUGAUGCAGCGAUGCCGCGUGAGUGAAGAAGGCCCUUGGGUUGUAAAACUCUUUCGUCGGGGAAGAAAAUGACUGUACCCGAAUAAGAAGGUCCGGCUAACUUCGUGCCAGCAGCCGCGGUAAUACGAAGGGACCUAGCGUAGUUCGGAAUUACUGGGCUUAAAGAGCUCGUAGGUGGUUAAAAAAGUUGAUGGUGAAAUCCCGAGGCUCAACCUUGGAACUGCCAUCAAAACUUUUUAGCUAGAGUGUGAUAGAGGUAAGUGGAAUUUCUAGUGUAGAGGUGAAAUUCGUAGAUAUUAGAAAGAACACCAAAUGCGAAGGCAACUUACUGGGUCACUACUGACACUGAGGAGCGAAAGCAUGGGUAGCGAGGAGGAUUAGAUACCCUCGUAGUCCAUGCCGUAAACGAUGUGUGCUAGACGUUGGAAAUUUAUUUUUCAGUGUCGCAGCGAAAGCAUUAAGCACACCGCCUGGGGAGUACGACCGCAAGGUUAAAACUCAAAUGAAUUGACGGGGACCCGCACAAGCAGUGGAGCAUGUGGUU